Molecule: ribosomal RNA, 385 nt
Filed under: uncultured bacterium
Lineage: Bacteria
Description: bacterial SSU rRNA
Rfam family: Bacterial small subunit ribosomal RNA
Source: RNAcentral
ACGAACGCUGGCGGCGUGCUUAACACAUGCAAGUCGAGCGGGGUCCAUCCAGUAGCAAUACUGGUGAAGACCUAGCGGCGAACGGGUGAGUAACACGUGAGCAACCUGCCCCGAAGUCUGGGAUAACACCGGGAAACCGGUGCUAAUACCGGAUGUCCUCACCGAGUCACCUGGCUUGAUGAGGAAAGAUUUAUCGCUUCGGGAGGGGCUCGCGGCCUAUCAGCUUGUUGGCGGGGAACGGCCCACCAAGGCUUCGACGGGUAGCUGGUCUGAGAGGACGACCAGCCACACUGGGACUGAGACACGGCCCAGACUCCUACGGGAGGCAGCAGUGGGGAAUCUUGCGCAAUGGGCGAAAGCCUGACGCAGCAACGCCGCGUGGGGA